Molecule: ribosomal RNA, 253 nt
Filed under: uncultured bacterium
Lineage: Bacteria
Description: partial 16S ribosomal RNA
Rfam family: Bacterial small subunit ribosomal RNA
Source: RNAcentral
UACGAAGGGUGCAAGCGUUACUCGGAAUUACUGGGCGUAAAGCGUGCGUAGGUGGUGAGUUAAGUCUGUCGUGAAAGCCCCGGGCUCAACCUGGGAAUGGCGAUGGAUACUGGCUCGCUAGAGUGCGGUAGAGGAGAGUGGAAUUUCCGGUGUAGCGGUGAAAUGCGUAGAUAUCGGAAGGAACAUCAGUGGCGAAAGCGACUUCCUGGACCAAUACUGACGCUCAUGUGCGAAAGCGUGGGGAGCAAACAGG